RNAcentral lists this ribosomal RNA (254 nucleotides) under uncultured bacterium. Its description in RNAcentral is "partial 16S ribosomal RNA". It matches the Rfam family "Bacterial small subunit ribosomal RNA", at positions 524 to 776 of the family's 1533-position model. The record is from RNAcentral.
GACGAACCUUGCUAACGUUAUUCGGAAUCACUGGGCUUAAAGGGUGCGUAGGCGGCCAACUAAGUCGGACGUGAAAUCCCUCGGCUUAACCGGGGAACUGCGUCCGAUACUGGAUGGCUAGAGUGUGGGAGAGGGAUGCGGAAUUCCAGGUGUAGCGGUGAAAUGCGUAGAUAUCUGGAGGAACACCGGUGGCGAAGGCGGCAUCCUGGACCAAUUCUGACGCUGAGUGAGCGAAAGCCAGGGGAGCAAACGGG